AAAGAUAUUUAAAAUUAAUAGCUAACUAUUUUUAUUUUAGAAUUUAAAAUUAAACACCUAGUCAUAGUUUUAACUAAAUUAAAAUUGCCAGUACAAACCACUUUGGAUAUACCCAAACGUAGGAGGGAAGAAAAUGAUCUUGAUACACUCAUUUAUAUACCCAAAGACCAUAUAAAAUCACUACCUAGUACAAAUUUAGAUAUAUCAAGUAUUACAUUUAAUAAAAAUGAUGAUAGUCAACAAAAUGAACAUACCAAAUCACUAAUUAAUAUAGAAAAUCAAAAUUUUAAUGAUGAACUUGAUAUCAUAAG
Gordionus sp. m RMFG-2023 is the source of this 311-nucleotide long non-coding RNA. RefSeq lists it as uncharacterized. Lineage: Eukaryota; Metazoa; Nematomorpha; Gordioida; Chordodea; Parachordodidae. The record is from RefSeq and is a predicted model, not a curated record. The transcript has 3 exons.